RNAcentral lists this ribosomal RNA (253 nucleotides) under uncultured bacterium. Its description in RNAcentral is "partial 16S ribosomal RNA". It matches the Rfam family "Bacterial small subunit ribosomal RNA", at positions 524 to 776 of the family's 1533-position model. The record is from RNAcentral.
GACGGAGGAGGCAAGCGUUAUCCGGAAUUAUUGGGCGUAAAGCGUCCGCAGGUGGCUGUGUAAGUCUGCUGUCAAAGAGCAAAGCUCAACUUUGUAAAGGCAGUGGAAACUACACGGCUAGAGUGCGUUCGGGGCAGAGGGAAUUCCUGGUGUAGCGGUGAAAUGCGUAGAGAUCAGGAAGAACACCGGUGGCGAAGGCGCUCUGCUAGGCCGCAACUGACACUGAGGGACGAAAGCUAGGGGAGCGAAUGGG